CGGACGGGUGAGUAAUGCCUAGGAAAUUGCCCUGAUGUGGGGGAUAACCAUUGGAAACGAUGGCUAAUACCGCAUAAUGCCUACGGGCCAAAGAGGGGGACCUUCGGGCCUCUCGCGUCAGGAUAUGCCUAGGUGGGAUUAGCUAGUUGGUGAGGUAAGGGCUCACCAAGGCGACGAUCCCUAGCUGGUCUGAGAGGAUGAUCAGCCACACUGGAACUGAGACACGGUCCAGACUCCUACGGGAGGCAGCAGUGGGGAAUAUUGCACAAUGGGCGCAAGCCUGAUGCAGCCAUGCCGCGUGUGUGAAGAAGGCCUUCGGGUUGUAAAGCACUUUCAGUCGUGAGGAAGGUAGUGUAGUUAAUAGCUGCAUUAUUUGACGUUAGCGACAGAAGAAGCACCGGCUAACUCCGUGCCAGCAGCCGCGGUAAUACGGAGGGUGCGAGCGUUAAUCGGAAUUACUGGGCGUAAAGCGCAUGCAGGUGGUUUGUUAAGUCAGAUGU
Molecule: ribosomal RNA, 500 nt
Filed under: Vibrio campbellii
Lineage: Bacteria; Pseudomonadati; Pseudomonadota; Gammaproteobacteria; Vibrionales; Vibrionaceae
Description: bacterial SSU rRNA
Rfam family: Bacterial small subunit ribosomal RNA
Source: RNAcentral